RNAcentral lists this long non-coding RNA (16794 nucleotides) under Prunus persica (peach). RNAcentral describes it as "long non-coding RNA (PPER_LNC006704)". Lineage: Eukaryota; Viridiplantae; Streptophyta; Magnoliopsida; Rosales; Rosaceae. The record is from RNAcentral.
GGUGCGGUGGUGCAGAGGGUAAGCUGACGGAGGUUGGGUUUUUUUAGGUCUUAAUUUUUUUUUUAAAAUAUAGAUUUGACUUAAUUUUUUAAAAAUAAUUUAAACAACAAAAUAAAUUUUUUUAUUAAUUUUUAGUCCACUUGGAAGUCCAUAUCAUUAAAAAAUAGAUCUCACUUUUGACACGUCAGCAUUUAUGUAAUGUAUAGGGUAAUUUGUAGGUUUUUCGGAAGUUUGAGUAUAUACUCGUAAAUGUCUCUAAAGUUGGGUAUGAACCUGAAAAUGACCAUAUCAUUUCAGGGGUUUUAUGUAGUUUUUCUUAAUUUUUAAUCAUAUAUUUUUAUUUUUUUGGUUGUCAAAGUCUUAUUUAUCUCCAUAAAUGUAGAAUGAGCUCACAUGACUAAAUUUAACAGAAAAUAUAACGAUAAGACAAAUGUGUUGAUUAAUAAAGAGUUAAUAGAUCAUUUGAAUAAAUAAUUUAAUUGAGAGACCAAAAUACAAUUUGAAUAUAAAUUUGAGGACCAUUUGAGUAAAUAACCUUAAAAAAUAUUAAAAAGCAAAAGAGAGUAUGUGUAAAUGAAAAAAUGGCAAAUCACCUCCCUAAAAUAAUAUAUUUGGUCCCAAGGCAAAGUUAAUGCCCCAACUACUCUCCAAAAUCCAGAAGUCGCGGAUUGCUAGCGUGUCUUCACUCACAGCCGUUGAUCACCAUCAAAUCUCACACCCAUCGCUUCACUUCAAAACAAUCCAAUUGGCUAAAACACAAGCACACGGAUCGUCAACGUGGCACACCCCACUAUAAAACACAACCCACCAAAGUAUUUUUGCCAAAUUCAAAUCCAAGCGCUUCAAAACAAUCCAACUUUCCCUCCGCAACAAAAUUUUAUUUUCAGUUCUAAAAUCUGAGAGAGAAUGGAAGCUGCUAAGGUCACCAAGGGCGCCGGAGGAAGAAAAGGCGGAGAGAGAAAGAAGUCCGUGUCGAAGUCGGUCAAAGCGGGGCUCCAAUUCCCAGUGGGUCGGAUAGCCCGUUUCUUGAAAAAGGGUCGCUACGCCCAGCGAACAGGCACCGGGGCUCCGAUUUACCUCGCCGCCGUUCUCGAAUAUCUCGCCGCUGAGGUAAUUUCAUGGUCCAAGUUUCUCAGAUCUAAGCAUUUUACAUCUUUUUCCCCUUCUCGAAAUGCGUUUCUCGUAAAAACUUCUCAAUAAGAUCUGAUUGUUUUGUGCGAUUGUGUUUUCUUUUGCUGUUUGGAUUUUGAGAAAAAUAAGGAAAAUAAGGAAAAUGAGAUUUGAUUUUUGUUUCUUUGAUUAUUAAUUACUUAUUAAUUGGUGGUGGCGUUUUGAAAUCAGGUGCUGGAGUUGGCGGGGAAUGCGGCACGUGACAACAAGAAGACUCGGAUAAACCCAAGGCACGUGCUAUUGGCAGUGAGAAACGACGAGGAGCUUGGAAAGCUUUUGCAAGGAGUGACCAUAGCGAGCGGUGGUGUGCUCCCAAACAUAAACCCAGUGCUGCUUCCAAAGAAGACCUCCAAUGCGUCUUCUGAAGCUGCUGAGAAGGCGCCCAAGUCUCCCAAGUCUCCCAAGUCUCCCAAGAAGGCCUAAAACGCAUGUCGUUUUCAAUGACAACAUAUAAAUAAUGUCAGUAGGGAUCUUUAGGGCCUAGUUUUGUUUUUCUCGUGUAGUAGUUAUUGCACAAAUGAAAAUGUGGAUGGCAUAAUCGGAAAUUUCAUGUUUUGUGUAUUUUUGAAAUCUCCUUAAUGUGAGAUUUGAAAUUUCCAAAACUGACAAUUAUUAUUUCUGACAGAAAUUAUUGUGUGGUAUUAGAAUAUAAUUAUAUGAUAUAGGUGAGUGACAUGGUUACAAAAAUAAAUUUACUCCAUUCACCCAAACCCACGGAUGGAGCUUGGUAGUAUCCAAACCUGACUCAAUUGAAAUCCAUGGCCUGCCACGUAUCACUCAGUCUCGUUGCCCUUGCUCCGAAACACAUGUCAAAGGCAUAAACGGAAACUCGCAAAUUGCCAUCGUGGCAUUUUCUUUUCCCCUAUAAAAUAUUGCCUACCAAAUUACGCCAACGUGAUUUCAAAUCCCAGCGGUUCGAAACUCUCGCACUUUCCCUCCUAAACGAAUCGUUUUACCACCCUAGUCUUGAGAGAAAAAUGGAAACCGCGAAGGGGUUCAGAGGAAGAAUAGGCGGAGGGAGGAAGAAGGCAGUGUCAAAGUCGGCCCGAGCUGGGCUUCAAUUUCCGGUGGGUCGGAUCUGCCGUUUCAUGAAAGCUGGUCGCUACGCCGAUCGGAUCGGAACCGGGGCUCCGAUUUACAUGGCUGCUGUUCUUGAAUAUUUGGCUGCUGAGGUGAUUUUUCUGAUCCGCAAUAUCUCAGAUCUAAGCAUUUUAACUUGUUUUAUCGAAAUAAUUUUUACAUGAUCUGAUUGUUGCGUCUGAUAUUACUUCCGUUUUGAUUUUCUCUUGAUAUCUGAUCCUUGUGUUUUUUGUUUGGAAGAAUUGAUCAUGGACGUGUUUCUCUUUCUUGUUUGGUUGUUGAGAAAAGGAAGGAAAUGAAAAGAAAACUGACAUUUUUAUUACAAUUGUUUGAUUUCUGUUUCUGUAAUUAUAUCAUUAAAUCACAAAUUAAUCGGUCAGGUUCUGGAGUUGGCGGGGAAUGCGGCACGUGACAACAAGAAGACUCGGAUCAGCCCGCGGCACGUGCUAUUGGCAGUGAAAAACGACGAGGAGCUGGAGGAGCUUUUGAAAGGAGUGACCAUAGCCAGUGGCGGUGUGCUUCCGCAGAUAAACCCAGUUUUGCUUCCAAAGGAGACGACGUCGUCCAAAGCCUCUUCCAAGGCUCCCAAGCUCGUCAAUCCCACCACGAACAAAUCGUCUUUUUCUGCUGCUGUAGAAGAUGCUCCCGACUUUGGGAAUGAGGCAAACGACGCCGCUUCGGAUGUCGCCGACAAUGCGUCUCCCAAUUCACCACCCAAGGAGGAGGCCUCAAGCCCCUCUUCUGGUGUUUCUGCUGUAUCAGCAACUACGUAAAUGUCAGUAGGGAACUAUAGGAAUGAAAGGUUCUUUAGUCAGAGUAGUGCACAAAUGGAAACUGAUAGUGGGUUGGGUAUAUCUGAAAGAAACUUCAAUGGGAAGUUUCUUAUUUUGUGAAUGAAAUAUAAAUGCAAUCUUCUUAUGGUGAUCAAUUGAAAUUUGGAAUGCAAAUCCUCAUAUCAAAUGGAAAGAUUUCUUAUUUUGUGAAUGCAAUUGAAAUCCAAUCUUCAAAUCAAUACUUACAUUCACAAAUAUGAGUUAGGCCACUUGGCCAAUACAGUGUACUCACCCCACUGCAUCCGAAUUCGAACCUCCUCCCGUAUAUUAGAAUAGUUUAUAAUAUCCAUUGUAAAAAUAAAAAUAGGAACAUAUUACAUCAAUUUUUUGAGUCGAAGAUCUGAUUUCUUUUAGGAAAAGUCAAAACCAAAGAGCACACAACACAACCCACAACGCCCAAAAGGUUUGGUCUUUUUAUUUGUGCUCCAAUUCUCGGUACCCGAUUAGGAUUUGGGCUGUGUAAUUCCAACUGCAAAGCCCAUUUGAACUUCAUCUUUGGUCUCUGACCAAUAAUAACACUUCAACCUUUGGUCUGAGAUUUGAGACACCGUCAUCAAAGAAGGGGUUUUAGCUUGGGUUUUUGUGUACCUUGCGUUUCAGAACUUCUAGUACAUUUUACUCAUUCAAGCCUUCGUUUCGUUUUACUCAUGAACCAUUUUCUGGUAUUCGCAAUCUGAUUGGAAUUCAUUUUUAAAUUUAUUAGCUUUCGUUAGAAACUUAUUACUUUCGCAUCUGAUUCCGGCAGAGAAAACUUUCAACCCCCAACCGGAUUGUGGCCAUUUCCGCCGCUGCAGGGUCGGUUUUAUUGUACGCCAACGGCAACAGAAAUUCCGGUAAGUUCAAAGCUUUUAUUUUGAUCCGAAGUGAAUUUUUCUCUUCCUGUUUUUGGGCAAACAUUUUUUUGUUGCUGGAUGAAUGAGGAAACGAGAAAUCAAAUGUUGGGUUUUCGUUGCUUGGUUUCUAACCCAGUUAAAAAAAUGUCAAACGUUUGAUCGAUCCAGAUCGAGAUUCACAUUUUUAAUUUGAUUCUAAAAAAUAAUGCAUUUCUGAUUGAUUAACUAUAAUAAUCAGUCAUUAAGUAUGAAUUGGAUUUUAGAUUACACGGCAUCAGUGUCACUCCCUGCGCCAUUGCGCGAAUCGCUGUGGCUUCCAUGGCAAUCAGAGCUAUCGGUUCCACUGUUUUCUCUGGGAAAUAGUUCGGUUCCAUCAUCAGAUAUAAGCAAGGAUGUUUCUGGUGUCUCAGCAGCUGGAGAGAUACCAAAGACAUGUAGUGGAUGUUUGGGCAGAGAUUCUUUUGCAAAAGCGGCUGCUAAGGUUGGUCCUGCUGUUGUCAACGUAUCUGCUCCACAGGGUAAAAAUACAUUUUGGGAUUUUUCAUUUUUGUUUUGAGACAGUUGUAUUGUAUCGAGAAAUUAACAAUGAUGCUUUGUUUGUCAACUGUGUAGGUGAAUUUGGGAUCAGUCCUGGAAAGGGUAUGGGCUCCGGAACUAUUAUUAACCAGGAUGGUACGAUUUUAACGUGUGCUCAUGCUGUGGUUGAUUUUCAUGGGCUGAGAGCUUCAUCAAAAGGGAAGGUUAGAAACAUUAUCCCAAUUCUCAUAAUUUAAAAUAUCAUAAUGACUGUUCUGUACUAGUUCCCUUGGGGACUCUGUUGGUACACAUAGAAGGGCAUAUAUUUCAAAGUACAAAUAUAGGGUAACUGGUAAGACUGAGUUAAGAAAUGCAAUAGGUUUUCAGGGCAGGCUUUUAGGAAAAUAUAUCAAUCUUCAAGGAUUGAUGUUCAGUUCAACUUGAUACAGGUUCAUGUCACUUUGCAAGAUGGUCGAACAUUUGAGGGUACUGUGGUCAAUGCGGAUUUACAAUCCGAUGUUGCUAUUGUAAAGAUCAAUUCUAAAACUCCACUACCAACAGCAAAGCUCGGCAGUUCAAGCAAGCUUCAGCCUGGGGAUUGUGUGAUAGCUGUUGGCUGUCCACUUUCGCUUCAGAAUACAGUCACAUCUGGUAUUGUAAGGUAAAUUAGUUUUCAGUAAUAGAGAGUUGGUAUCUUUUUUGUCUACCAGUUAUCAAAUUAAACUCCUAGCAACGCACACAUAAAAAUGCACAAUUUCAAGCCUUUAAUUUUUCUUUGACCAUUUUACUAUAUCAUGUAUUUUUGGUGUUUAUCAUCAUGUUUCUCCCUUUAAUGCAGUUGUGUUGACCGUAAAAGCACUGAUUUGGGUCUUGGUGGAUUGCGGAGAGAGUAUUUACAGACGGAUUGCGCAAUCAAUCCGGUCUCUCUCUCUCUCUCUCUCUCUCUCUCUCUCUCUCUCUCGAUAAUGACUUUGAAUUGUGCCUAAAACUUGGCUCUUUUUUUUUUUGGGUACAUGACCUGAGUGUUGCAGGGAAAUUCUGGGGGGCCUUUAGUUAAUAUUGACGGAGAGGUGAUUGGUGUUAAUAUUAUGAAAGUACUUGCUGCUGAUGGAUUGAGUUUUGCUGUACCGAUUGAUUCGGUCACCAAAAUUCUGGACCAUUUCAAGAGAAAUGGGUAUGUUUUUGUUUUAGCAUGUGCAAAUAGUUUUAUGUGAUACACUUCUUUGAUAAUUUGGUUUCUUUUAAGAUAAUAUAUGUGAAACUAAUUAGUCAUGUUCAGCAGGAGGGUUGUCCGGCCUUGGAUUGGAUUGAAGAUGAUUGAUCUCAAUGAGAUGAUCAUCACCCAGCUUAAAGAAAGAGAUCCUACAUUCCCAAAUGUGAAGAAAGGGAUUCUUGUCCCCAUGGUAUGUAUAUAGUUGCUUCCUUCCCCAAUCUUGUACAUAUGUAUCCAAAUAGUAGUUGAAUGUAUCAGAGGUGGAAAGUACAUCUAGAUGCCAUCCUUUGGCAGUUAAAGAAUUGCAAUGACUUUUAAAUGGCUUCCUAGUCUAAUCUCGUAAGAGUGCCUUAGUUGUGUAUUUCAUUGCUUUUUCUACCUUGAUAUCUAUCAGUCUUUUCUAAGUGGGUAUGUGAUGCACAAAUAUGAAAACCAGGCUGUUAAGGAUAGUUGGUAUUCAACAAAUAACACACAAGUUUAUUGCAACUUGAGCUUUUUCACUAGAUAUGCAUCAGCAUAAUUUCACUUUUACUUCUUCAUUGUGCACCCAUUGGAAUGAACGUGUUAUUGUUUGACUGUUAAACAUGGCUGGAUCACUUGUCAAAUAAUUUACCUUUUGAUCGUCUAGGUAACUCCUGGGUCACCUGCUGAACGUGCUGGGUUCCGUCCUGGUGAUGUUGUUAUUGAAUUUGAUGGAAAGGCUGUUGAAAGCAUUAAGGAGGUACUGGAACCCUUACUAUACUAUUAUUUCCAUGAACUUCUUUGAGUGAAUGCUAUAUUGGCAAAGUGUAUCGAAUUUACCAAUUUAGCAAAUGACUAGAUUUGUAAUAAUUUGUUAAAAAAUGUUCAUCAAAGUUGGUGAAAUUGUGACAGAUCAUUGAAAUAAUGGGAGACCGAGUUGGGGUGCCCAUCAAGGUAGUUGUGAAAAGAGCAAGAGAUGAGUUGACUUUAACUGUAACUGCAGAGGAGUCGAAUUCAGAUAUGUGAAUGACAAGCUUUUGUUUUCAAGAUAGUUUGUUGUUGGUUUGGUUCCUGUAAUUCUGUGACUGGAAAGAAGAGCGAAUGCAUAUAUCCAGCUAGUUAGUAGUUAAUGUUACCUUUGAAAGAUACUGGUGAUAUUGAGGUGAAUUAGUUUGAAAUUUGGUGUCUACUUUCUAAAAUUUCUCAUUCUCCCAUGGAAUGGAAGCCUUGUGUUCGUUGUAACUUGCAUACGAGCAACAAGGAGAUAUCAUCUCCAAAAUUUAACCCUUGAACUUGUAUGGGUCUCUUUUACUCCAACUAUCUAACGUGGACUUCUAUCAAAUUUUAUUUGCAAUAAUUUAUCUAACAGUAUAUUUGGCAGAAAUGGACCAUAUAGAAUAGAUGCAUAAAGUCGAAUUGAACUAAAGGCGAUCCGAAAUUUGGAGACAAAAAAUUGUUGAUCACUGCAACUAAUUUCAUUGAUACAUAAUAUAACUGUUAUAUAUGUGUAACCCCGAUACCGAUCUCUAGCAUAUUCUCAUUUCCUCGAAUAUUUACAAUGUAUUUCAAUACCCUAAAUAAUUUAAAGAAGGAAAAAGGCAUAACAUAAAAAGGUGCUACCAAAAACAAAAUAUUUACACCACUUCAAAAAGUUUCUUCUGGCUUCAAGAAGUUAUAAUAUUCCAGCUGAGUCAUUUCUCCUCCAUUUACAGGGUCGAAUUGGCAACGAUAGAAGCUGCAUUCGCAAUCCGAUGAUUUCAUUAGACAGUUAAUCUUCGGAAACAGAAAAGAAAAGAAAAGUAGACUCCAACAAUCUAAAUAAAAUAAGGAACAUUCUAGUUGAAGGCAGCUCCAUGGAAUCAAUAGACUUAGAAAACGGGGACUUGCAAAAAGAACAAACAAUAUCGCAUUCAGUUACCUUCCAUCCAUGCCAAGAAUCACGACUGUGUUCUUCUGGUGUCCAAAGGCAACAGUGUACUGCAAACCUUCCUGCAAGUGAUAUUUAGCCACUGACCAUUCUGAGCUGAAAUACCUUGGCAACACACCUGCAAAAGAUAAACCCAGAACAAGGUUGAAAGACCAAGAUCAAGAUACACAACUACGAGUCAUUUACAAAUUGACGUUACAGUUUAUCUAUGGUGCCUCAGAGAUAAACUUGGCAACAAAUUACGUACCUUUCAUGAAAGAGAGAGAUGAAAUGCCGGAAGGAUUAGGAGGACUGAUUUCUGAUGCACUGCAUGAUCUAUUGUUUGCCAAGGAUCCUGAAUCAACCUUUAGGCUGAAAACAUGGACAGUGCCCUUAUCACUUGAGACAGCUAACCAUUGAGCAGUAGAAGAAAAAGCAAGACUGUAAAUCUCUGCUCUGUCUGCUCCUCUCCUUACCUACAUAAAAUACCAAGUAAUUCCUUAAACAUUAAUGUUACUAAAUUACCACAAAAGUUAAUAAAUUUUUGUGCAGAGUAGUUAUAAAGACCAAGUAUUCAACAGAAUAUGGUGGCAUCAUAUCCAAAUAUACCCUGCAAAAACCUAAAACCUCAACCAAGCAUGAAUCCCAGUCACCUUUCUGAGACAAAUUGCUUCCCAAAAACCUAGCUUUGGCAAAGUUAUGCCAUUGCCAACCAAACUAAUGAGCAAAACUACACAAACACACACACACAUAUAUAUAUUCAAUGAAAUCAAAAACCCGGAUGAACAGACACUGACAACUUUGUCACAGAUUCAACUAAAGCUUGAUUCUUAGUUCAUACAAAUAGACAUGGCAGCACCCAAAAACACAAUUUCACAGAACAUUAAGAAAAAUAAUUAAAAUUUAAAUACCUCUUGAAGUAAUGAACCAUCCAAAGUAUUGAAAAUCCUGAUCAAAGUGCCUUUACUACUGGCCGUGGCUAGCAGCCGACCGUCCUGCGUGAGCGCCAAGCACGCGAGCCUGGAAUCGUGGGCUAUUACAAACUUGGUUCGCUUUGACCCGUAAUUCUCGAUCCGAACUUGACCUUUUUGGAGCCCCGGGCACACCAGUACCGGAUGACCCGACAAGUUCGAGACCUCACAGAGUCCUUUGGGGUUGGCGAUGGUCUCAAUUUGAUGCAGGAGCUUUAAGUCAGUGAAAUUGUAGACGAAAACCUUCUGGACCAAAACGACGACGAUUCGGUCACGGCGGAGCCUGACCCCUUUGACUUCGGACCGGAAAGAGAGCUCGCAGAUGCAACGGGACUCGUUGUCCUCCCAAAUCAUGACCUUGUUGGGCGAGUAGAGCGGGUCGGGUCCGCCGCCGACAAGGGCGAGGACGUUGCAGCGGAAGAGCAUCUGGACCAUCCCGAGGCCGCCACCUGGACCGAAUUCGCGGCGGAAGAUCUCGCGGACGGGGUCGCAGUUGUAGACGCGGAAGCCGACGUCGGUGGCGACGGAGAAGCAACCGUGGUCCUGGUUGAAGGAGAGGUGGAGGAGGGUGGGGAUUUGGGUCGGGUUCGGGUUUGGGCAUGGACUUGUGUUUUGGGUGGAGAGAGAGGAAGAGUCGUCGGGUUCGGGCUCGGAGGCUGCAUGGAGAGGCUGUGGGUGUGCCAUUUGGGGCGUGGUGAGUAAAUCAGGGGAGGAGGAGAUGGUGGUCAUGGCCUCAUGAAACUCGGUGGCGGUGGAGGUAGGCAGGACUUGGGGUUUUUAUUUAUUUUGACCUAUUUUAAUAUUUAUUUUUUUGGGAGGGUUUUGCUGCACACCAUAAACUUUGAAAGAUAUUUUUGGAUUAUGGGUUGUGUAUUUGUCCAAGCUGUAUUUACAGCUUAUGCCAAAAUAUAUAUAUUUUCUAAUUCUUUUUGGAAUGCAAUCCAAUUUUUUCUAUGAACACCACUUAAAUACUAAUUUAUCAUGCUUAUAUCUUUAACAAAGCCUAAGCAUAUUUGGUUUUUGAAAAUUUUGACAAGUCCAUGCCUAUUUGAUUUAGUAAUACACAUUUAUUUUGUUAUAGAAAAUUCUGAAUAUUAUCGUAAACUUUGUUUGUUUGUUUUGUUAUUGAAUUUGACUUGCUAGCUUUAAAAUUAUAAAGACUAAAAAAGCCUAUAUUGGGGGAGGGGGCAAUUAAACGAGUGUGGGAUGCAUGGAUAAAUGCUCUUAAUCAUUUGACCUACAAUUCUUCGGAAAAAAAACUUAAGCCCUUACCUUGUGUGCAUAUAAUUAUUUUCAAUUCACUUAUGUUUUCAGUUUUUUUUUCAUUGGACACUAGGUUUUAGUUGAUUAGGGUGUUUAUGAGAGGAGUAGAUUUUCACUAAGAAUUCUCAUUUAGUGGAAACUUGAUUCAUUAUCAAUAGUGAAUGAUAAAUCUAAAUCCAACCGUGAGUAAAUACGUCAAACCAACCGUCAAAAAAACCUUCUUUUUUAAAAUUCUGUCGUUAAUACUUUCCUAUUUAGGAAAGGAGAAAAAGUGAAAAAAAUCAAGCUGUGAAUUUUAGCAGCAAGAGGCGGCGAGAGCCCCCGUUAUUUGAGUAUCGAGGUUGAGCAAAAAGCCCCAAUUCCAAAUACACUGGUUCAAUUAGGGUUUAACGGAAUUUCCCCAACGCUUGGUUGAACAAUUCGCAGCAAAUCGCAAUGGCUCGUAACGAAGAGAAAGCGCAUUCAAUGCUCAAUCGAUUCAUCACACUCAAAGCCGAAGAGAAGAAGAAGCCAAAAGAGCGACGCCCAUACCUGGCCUCCGAAUGCCGAGACCUCGCCGAGGCCUCCAAAAGGCGGCAGCAAAUCAUGGGAGAGAUUGGCUGAAAAGUCGCCGAGAUCCAAAACGAAGAGCUCGGCGAGCACCGUCUCCGCGACCUCAACGACGAGAUCAACAAGCUCAUACGAGAGAAAGUUCACUGGGAACGACGAAUUGUUGAGCUCGGAGGUCCUAACUACGCGAAACACGCCCCUAAGAUGACGGACCUCGAUGGCAACAUCAUCAACGUCCCAAACACUAGCGGCCGCGGCCCUGGGUAUCGGUAUUUCGGCGCGGCGAAGAAGUUGCGGGGAGUCAGAGAGCUUUUCGAGAAGCCGCCGGAGCUGAGAAAGCGGAGGACGAGGUACGAUAUAUACAAAAGGAUAGAUGCGAGCUAUUAUGGGUAUAGAGACGAUGAGGAUGGGGUUCUGGAGAAGGUUGAGGCUCCGGCGGAGUGGAAACGGAUGGAGGAGAUAAGGAAAGAGGCAAGGAGGGCGGUGAAGAGUGGGGAGGUGGUGUCGGUGGCCAAGGCGAAGGAGGUUUUGUUUGAGAGGAAGAGGAGGUGGUUGAGGAGGAGAGGCAGAGAGAAAGGGAAUUACAAGAGAGGAGUGAGAGGGAGAAAGAGUUUGUGGUGACGAUAAGGAGAUUGAGAAGAUGGUGCUGGAGAAGAAGAAGAAGGAGCUGCUGAGCAAGUAUACUAGUGAUGGAUUGUUGGAGGAGCAGACUUGAGGCUAAGCAGAUGCUUAACAUUCAGCGCUAGAAUGCAGACACCUAGAAAGAGAAAGAGUAUGUUACUGUGUUUAAUUUGACUCAUUGACUGAUAAAAAGUUGUUUGUUCUUAUCAUAUAUCAAAUUGAUAUUUAAGAUGGAUUUUUGAUGUAUUAAUGUUCUGGCAUAAGUUGAAUUCUCUUUGGUUAUUGGUAGGCUUUGCUAAGUAAGUGUUUGUAAAGUAUUUAGAUGGUGGAUUGAGUAAUAGUUGUCCUUGAUGAUGAAACAAGUUAUAUUUGUCACUUUGGAUUUAAUUUCAAGGAGCUAUAAUUAUCAGUUGAUUAUGACAAGUUUUGUUAGCCUUUCUACUACAUGUUCUGUUCUUUUAUCAAAGUUUCAUUACUUUCUUUGUUGCUGAGUUUACCUGGCUACCUCUUUCAAAUUAUACUGUAAGCUUUGUAAACAAAGAACAUAUCAGCUAUUUAGUUUAUACAUGAUUUGUACUCUUUAGUACGAGAGCAAAUUUCUAAUUUUUCUAAAGAAAGAAGAAUAAAAGAUUAGAGAAAAGUAGGUUUCAGUAAGAACAAUUUAGGAGUACAAACAUGAAGAUUUGGAUGUGAGUUCUAAGAAACAACCAAAUUAUACUCAUGCUUGGUCUCUGCUCUAAUGAUAUUAUUUACAGUAUUUGUGUGAGCUGAGAAAUAUUGCAUGCGAGUAAUAUGACACAACAAUGGUUUGGAAAGGAAAGUUGAUGUUGGUUUUUUCUGGAACUUCAACAAUAACAUAUGCUUGGAGCAAGCAUGAAGGUUUGUUCAUUGUGCCGUACAUAUCACGUAAAACAUUGUCUUGAGUUUAUUGCCUACCUUUUUCUUACCAAAGAAAACUGUAUAUUGCUUUGUGUAUAAAAGAAGUUGCUGGGUUGCCGUUGAUUGUUGGGCACUUAUUUAUUUUAUUAACCACUGGUUGUGGAACUACAUGUUAUGAACCAUCUCCAUUCUUUAGUGAUGGUUGCUUUGAGAUCAAUAUGUACCAUCCACUAAAACUCAAUCUUUAAAUUUUGAGAUAUUUAGUGAUAUACCUAUUUCUAGCACUAAUAUUAUAAAUAAAUCCUACAAAAUUGAAUUCCUAUAAACAAACUCAAAAAAAAUCUAAAAAAUGAGAGCUGGCCUUAUUGAAUUUAAUAUUGAUUAUUAAAUUACUUUGAUGCCCUAUUGAGUGCUUUGGGUAUUUUUAUGAGAUUUUGGGGUUGGGCUUGUUUUAAGAAAUUGAUGGCAGUUUUGUAAUUUAUAAGAAGUUAAAAGCUUUUUUGUUAUGUUGUAAAUGGGCUUUGGGUGUGUUUCUAAAGUCCAUUUUAUGUAGGGUAUUUUUAUAAUUUGGGCCCCCAUAUUGGGUAUAAUAGUGAAUCUCCCUUAAAUUUUCUGGUUAUAUUGCUCUCUGGGCCUGCCAUGCAUUAGUACAAAGGUGUCUACCUCUUUAGUUUUGGGCCCUUGGGGUUCUUCAACUCAUUGUACAGGCAGCUGAUUAAAAGGUUGGGUGUUUUGUUCUUACUAUUUGAAAUAAAAAAAAUCAUCUGCUGACACAGUAUGACGACUUUUCGUUGGUGGAAACUUUAGAAUGUCGAGUGGAAAAACGAUCGGAUGCUGUGGUGUAGGUUGAUCUCGCAACAUCUUGUGAUGUUGAUGGCAUACAAGUAUAUGCAAUUCGUGAUAUGAUUAUGAGGACCAGAGGAGCAUUGGUCACACAAUUGGGGAAUUUUAUCAUCAGUCUCUCCUGGAGGAGCCUGCUAGUUUUCGCUACUUUCACAAGCUUUUAGUGCUCUUCAUCAAUGUUUGAGACUUUACAUGUGUGACCAGAACAGAGAAGAAAGAAAUGUGCAAAGCAUAUGAACUCUAAUCUAAAGGCAUCCACCAUAGGAAUUGAAAACAUGUACACGCAAGAAGGCAAGAAGGCAAGAAGACAUAACCCUGAAACCUCCGUUAACAUCUGUAUGUACUCAUCAUAAAACUAAAACUACAUAAAAGCCGAAACCAACAAAUUAAACAGAACCCAAACACCAAAAAUUACUAGAAAUCAAAGCCACCGCCAAAGUCAUCACCACCAAACCCAGCAUCAUACCCAGCAUCAUAGGCAGCCAUCUCACCAACAUCUCCAAUCAUAUCUCCAAUCAACAAACCACCCAACAGUCCAGCUCCCAUGCCAAGCGCCAUGUUGCCUCCUCCCCUCUUAGGCUUCUGCGGCGGGUACCCAUAGCCUGACUGAGGCGGGUAACCGUACCCGGCCUGCGGCGGUGGUGCGUACCCAUAACCCGGCUGCUGAUGAGGCGGUGGUGGGUACCCACCAGGCGGCGGGUACGGGUAAGCUUGGGCAGGCGGAUACGGACCCGCAUGGGCCGCAGGCGGGUACCCGGAGCUUGACCCGGGAUGCCCAGAUGGGUAAGCCAUCACGGGCUCAUGGGUUUUCUUAUGGGCCUCAGGAACAGGAACUGUGAACUUGUCCCCAAAUUUGUACCCGAAAUUGAUGGAUCCUUUGGGCUUCCCACUGGAAGUUCGAACGCUGUAACCGACGUGCUUGAUCUGCUUCUUCUGAUCAUCACCGCCGCCCAAGCUGUCGAAGAGCUCCUUGAGGGGGAUUUGGACUUUGCCGAUCUUGGUGUCGCCCAAGCUGCGCUCGGAGACGAGCUUGAUGUUGAGAGUGAGGCGGUUGUGGAGCAAAGCGGCGUCGUCGAGAGUGAACUUGAUGGAGUAGUUGUUCCACUUAGGGUUUGUGCCGCCGUCUUUGGCGACGGGGGUCUUGGUCGUCUGCUUCUUGUUGCGGGGGUCGCCGGAGACCGAAACGGCGGCGUAGACGUCCAUCUUGGAGAACAUAUUGACAUCCUUGAGGUCGCUGGCUGAGACGAUUGUUAUCUCCAAAGGCCUGCACUCCAUGACGAUUGAAUUCUUGAGUUGGAAACUUGAAACUUGAAAUCAGAGAAAGUGUUUGAUAUUUCUUUUGAUUUGCGAACUCGAGAACUGUGAAUUGGGAGUUGGUAUGGAGAGCAAAACAAUAUAUAUAGAGGAGCAAAGGCAGGGCCAGGUUCUGUGAAGCUUCUAUGAAUUUAUAAUUUUUUAUUUAUUUCAUUUUAGUUUUGGAUAAGUGGUUACAAUUUAUUUCAGCUUUUUAACGCAAUAAAUAUUGUGAAAUUGUUCCUAGAAAGAAUCUUUCAUUACGCGUAUUGUUGAUUUAUUAUUUUGGUUUAUAAAUUUACGCGGAUGCGCGUGACAUGUGAGUUUUUUAUUUUUAUUUAUUUAUUUAAUAUGGGAGCGUGAUACACAAUAAAAGACAGGAAAUCCCAAUUGUAUAUGUAUUAUUUUGUUGUUACCUAAUUGAACUUAAAAUCCUAUUUUGUGGCUUGCCAUUUGGCUAAGAUUCACGGGAAAAUUACCCAUGUCAUUAAUUAGGUUUAGUCUUCAAAAGAUUGAUUAAGGAAGAGGAAGGAAGUCAAUUUGCUGAUUAAGAUGUUAAAUGGGGGAAUGGGGCCCGCCACAGUCUCACAUCGAAUAGAAGAGAAUAGAAAGGCUGAAACCACGUAAGUGGCGCGUAAGCCUGCCUUCCUUCAUAAUGCGAGUAGCAACAAACAAAGUGAUUGAAGGCCAGCCCCCCUCUGACGUCAUAUUGAUAUUGAUAUCGAUAUCGACUUUAAAAUUAGAUGUAUCAAUCAAAAUAAAAUUCUUAUUUUUCCUUUUUACACAAGAAUAGCUGCAUAAGAAAGAAAGGGUACGAACAUGGGUAUGGGUACAAGGGACGGACUCAUUAUCUUGACCUAACUUUACGAUCUAUAAUAAAUUCUUAAACUUUAAAUACUAAUUUUAUUCAUGUGAAACUUUAGAUGCUAAUUUGGAACCUAAUGAGCAACAAUGAAAAAGAAAAGAAAAGAGUAAACAAAAAUGAAUAAUAAUGAAAUACCUGUCUCCAGAUGGCCUUGUUGGUAUUGAGUUAUCAGUUAGAGCACCCCAGCAAAUCCCCAUAUUUAAUCUUUAUCUUUGUCUCUGUCUCUCCCUCCUGGAUUCUUUUAUUAUUAUUAUAUGAAUACAAAGAGGUAGAUGGUAAUGGUUUGCUGUAAAUAUUUAAAGCUCUGUGAGAGACGAUUUCAAUCUCAAUAUUUCUUCAAAAUCCCUUCCUUAUUAUGUUUGACAAAUUUGUUUCCUUGUUUCUGUUUAUCUGUUUAUUUUUACCGACUUAAAUUCUUCCUCCAUUGCACUCCACCAGCGCCGACUCUAAGCCUCUGGUUGAUUUGGUAAGUUUGUUUUAAUUAUCACCACCAACUCCCUAAUUAAAGAAGCCUUCUUCUAAUUAGGCUAUGCAUUCAUUUAACACAAAUCCAUAACCAUGGCUGCUUCUAGUUUUGGUUACGAUACAAGUACAACAACAGUUAAAUUAGGAGCUUCAAAUCUAACCCGUUGGAUUUAUUGGAUGGUGGGGAUUAAACAAAAGGGUCUGUUUUACAAGUCCCCACAUUGGAUAUUGAAAGGCUGGAAACACGUAAAUGGUACGUGUGAAGAAAAGGCAGCCGCUUUGCUUUGAUGUGAUCUUUUUAUGCUUACGGGAGAAGGAAUAGUUUGAUGUGAUCUUAUCCACCCAAAAUUUAAAAAAAUCGUAAUUAGGAUAAGUUCCAAUUCCACCGCUUUGUUGGUUGAAAUGCUCAUUCUUCUAUACACCUUUUCGAACUUUGCAACUUGGACGAUUAAGGAUUUGGAAUUUCAAUAACAAAAGAAUGGAAUUACGAAGUGUCUGGUGGAUGCUAGAAAAGUUUAAAUAUUGUAAUGAAGGCAUAAUGGUUAACAUUGUCUCAAUCAUCAACUCAUGUUCUUUCGCAUGUAAACUUUUCAUUUUUCUUUUAUAAAGUUUUUAUGCCAAUUUUUAACAAAAUUCACUGUUAUUUUACAAUGUAUCAUUAAAUGUAUUUUUUUAAAAUUUAAUUUAAUAUAAAUAACAAAUUUUAUUUUAACAAACAUGAGAAAGAAAACAAAGUAAAAUCUCACUGGUUAUUUUCCGAUAUUAUAAAAAGUGAGAAAUGAAUCUUCCAUUUUCAUAUUGGGAAGUUCAAAUUCAGAAUCUUUCUUUCAUUUUCAUCUUGGGAAGUUCAAAUUCAAAUUCAUUCCGUGAAUCAGACGGGGGCUUAGGCUUCUGCUUCUCCAGCGAGUACUGCUUCUCCAGCGAGUACCCGGAGCUUGACCUGGGCUUAGGCUUCUGCUUCUCCAGCGAGUACCCGGAGCUUGACCUGGGAUGCCCAAAUUUGUACCCGAAAUUGAUGGAUCCUUUGGGCUUCCCACUGGAAGUUUGAACGCUGUAACCGACGUACUUGAUCUGCUUCUUCUGAUAAUCACCGCCGCCCAAGCUGUCGAAGAGCUCCUUGAGGGGGAUUUGGACUGAGCCGAUUUUGGUGUCGCCCAAGCUUCUCUCGGAGACGAGCUCGAUGUUGAGGGUGAGGCGGUUGUCGAGCAAAGCGGCGUCGUCGAGAGUGAACUUGAUGGAGUAGUUGUUCCACUUAGGGUUUGUGCCGCCGUCUUUGGCGACGGGGGUCUUCUGCUUCUUGUUGCCGGGGUCGCCGGAGACCGAAACGGCGGCGUAGACGUCCAUCUUGGAGAACAUAUUGACAUCCUUGAGGUCGCUGGCUGAGACGAUUGUUAUCUCCAAAGGCCUGCGCGCCAUGACGAUUGAAUUCUUGAGUUGGAAACUUGAAACUUGAAAUCAGAGAAAGUGUUUGAUAUUUCUUUUGAUUUGCGAACUCGAGAACUGUGAAUUGGGAAUUGGUAUGGAGAGCAAAAC